GGGGGCGUAAUGGUUUCGACGGGGGUUUGAAAUGACAGGAGUAGCGAGCCGGGGGCCGGGCCCCGUUAAAAACUGGAAACGGCUAAUAACUGCCGACAACAACUACGCUUACGCUGCUUAAUUAACUAAGCAGCCGUCCUCUCAAUUCCCUGCCUGCGGGAAUUGAACAGGGCGUCGCUAAUGCAGGCUACCGCCGGCACACGCCUCCGCUGCCGCCGGGAAACUGCAAGGAGGCUGGUCUGAGGCAGAUCCUGUCCCUGGGAGCUGUCGAGGGCGAGAAGCAAAACAGGGACUGCGCUCGGAGAGACUGCUGUUGUUUAACCUUCGGACGCGGGUUCGACUCCCGCCGCCUCCACCA
Molecule: transfer-messenger RNA, 358 nt
Filed under: bacterium
Lineage: Bacteria
Also listed under: 1 other name
Description: JAAYIH01 sp012523545 Standard tmRNA
Rfam family: transfer-messenger RNA
About the family: Bacterial tmRNA, also known as 10Sa RNA or SsrA, is named for its dual tRNA and mRNA-like properties. Its role is to liberate the mRNA from a stalled ribosome.
Source: RNAcentral